ACGCUGGCGGCGUGCCUAAUACAUGCAAGUCGAACGGUCUUUCUAUGGAAGCUUGCUUCCACUGAGAAGAUAGUGGCGAACGGGUGAGUAACACGUGGGGUAACCUGCCCAUAAGAGGGGGGAUAACAUCCGGAAACGGGUGCUAAUACCGCAUAGUUUUCUUGGUCGCAUGAUCGGGAAAGGAAAGACGGCCUUUGUGCUGUCGCUUAUGGAUGGACCCGCGGCGUAUUAGUUAGUUGGUGAGGUAACGGCUCACCAAGACGAUGAUACGUAGCCGACCUGAGAGGGUGAUCGGCCACAUUGGGACUGAGACACGGCCCAAACUCCUACGGGAGGCAGCAGUAGGGAAUCUUCCGCAAUGGACGAAAGUCUGACGGAGCAACGCCGCGUGAGUGAAGAAGGUUUUUCCGGAUCGUAAAACUCUGUUGUCAGAGAAGAACAAGUUGGAGAGUAACUGCUCCAGCCUUGACGGUAUCUGACCAGAAAGCCACGGCUAACUACGUGCCAGCAGCCGC
RNAcentral lists this ribosomal RNA (515 nucleotides) under uncultured bacterium. RNAcentral describes it as "bacterial SSU rRNA". It matches the Rfam family "Bacterial small subunit ribosomal RNA", at positions 33 to 518 of the family's 1533-position model. The record is from RNAcentral.